RNAcentral lists this ribosomal RNA (1364 nucleotides) under Staphylococcus sp. HMSC075F12. RNAcentral describes it as "bacterial LSU rRNA". It matches the Rfam family "Bacterial large subunit ribosomal RNA", at positions 1544 to 2909 of the family's 2925-position model. Lineage: Bacteria; Bacillati; Bacillota; Bacilli; Caryophanales; Staphylococcaceae. The record is from RNAcentral.
GCACUCUUAAGAUUGAGCUGUGAUGGGGAGAGGAAAUUGUUUCCUCGAGUCGUUGAUUUCACACUGCCGAGAAAAGCCUCUAGAUAGAUAAUAGGUGCCCGUACCGCAAACCGACACAGGUAGUCAAGAUGAGAAUUCUAAGGUGAGCGAGCGAACUCUCGUUAAGGAACUCGGCAAAAUGACCCCGUAACUUCGGGAGAAGGGGUGCUCUUUAGGGUGCAAGCCCAGAAGAGCCGCAGUGAAUAGGCCCAAGCGACUGUUUAUCAAAAACACAGGUCUCUGCUAAACCGUAAGGUGAUGUAUAGGGGCUGACGCCUGCCCGGUGCUGGAAGGUUAAGAGGAGUGGUUAGCUUCUGCGAAGCUACGAAUCGAAGCCCCAGUAAACGGCGGCCGUAACUAUAACGGUCCUAAGGUAGCGAAAUUCCUUGUCGGGUAAGUUCCGACCCGCACGAAAGGCGUAACGAUUUGGGCACUGUCUCAACGAGAGACUCGGUGAAAUCAUAGUACCUGUGAAGAUGCAGGUUACCCGCGACAGGACGGAAAGACCCCGUGGAGCUUUACUGUAGCCUGAUAUUGAAAUUCGGCACAGCUUGUACAGGAUAGGUAGGAGCCUUUGAAACGUGAGCGCUAGCUUACGUGGAGGCGCUGGUGGGAUACUACCCUAGCUGUGUUGGCUUUCUAACCCGCACCACUUAUCGUGGUGGGAGACAGUGUCAGGCGGGCAGUUUGACUGGGGCGGUCGCCUCCUAAAAGGUAACGGAGGCGCUCAAAGGUUCCCUCAGAAUGGUUGGAAAUCAUUCAUAGAGUGUAAAGGCAUAAGGGAGCUUGACUGCGAGACCUACAAGUCGAGCAGGGUCGAAAGACGGACUUAGUGAUCCGGUGGUUCCGCAUGGAAGGGCCAUCGCUCAACGGAUAAAAGCUACCCCGGGGAUAACAGGCUUAUCUCCCCCAAGAGUUCACAUCGACGGGGAGGUUUGGCACCUCGAUGUCGGCUCAUCGCAUCCUGGGGCUGUAGUCGGUCCCAAGGGUUGGGCUGUUCGCCCAUUAAAGCGGUACGCGAGCUGGGUUCAGAACGUCGUGAGACAGUUCGGUCCCUAUCCGUCGUGGGCGUAGGAAAUUUGAGAGGAGCUGUCCUUAGUACGAGAGGACCGGGAUGGACAUACCUCUGGUGUACCAGUUGUCGUGCCAACGGCAUAGCUGGGUAGCUAUGUAUGGACGGGAUAAGUGCUGAAAGCAUCUAAGCAUGAAGCCCCCCUCAAGAUGAGAUUUCCCAACUUCGGUUAUAAGAUCCCUCAAAGAUGAUGAGGUUAAUAGGUUCGAGGUGGAAGCGUGGUGACACGUGGAGCUGACGAAUACUAAUCGAU